This is a long non-coding RNA of Caretta caretta (loggerhead turtle), 1777 nucleotides long. RefSeq lists it as uncharacterized. The record is from RefSeq and is a predicted model, not a curated record. Lineage: Eukaryota; Metazoa; Chordata; Testudines; Cheloniidae.
AUCGCUACCCCUUCCCGCUUCUCCAUGUGGGCACCAAUGAUACUGCCAAGAAUGACAUUGAGCAGAUCACUGCAGACUACGUGGCUCUGGGAAGAAGGAUAAAGUAGUUUGAGGUGCAAGUGAUCUUCUCGUCCAUCCUCCCUGUGGAAGGAAAAGGCCUGGGAAGAGACCAUCAAAUCGUGGAAGUCAACGAAUGGCUACGUAGGUGGUGUCUGAGAGAAGGCUUUGGAUUCUUUGACCAUGGGAUGGUGUUCCAAUAAGGAGGAGUGCUAGGCAGAGACGGGCUCCACCUAAUGAAGAGAGGGAAGAGCAUCUUCGCAAGCAGGCUGGCUAACCUAGUGAGGAGGGCUUUAAACUAGGUUCACUGGGGGAAGGACACCAAAGCCCUGAGCCUUUGUGGUUGUAACAUGAGCACAAAACCAUCAUCCUGAGUCUGAAGACAGAAACAGGAGCUCUAAGAAAGGUUUUCUUCAACACCACUACAGAGCUCUGUCUCAGGCUGAGGAUGGUUGAGAAGGAACUGAAGGGGUUGGGUCGUGUGCGUGCUACAUGAGGCACCAAUGGUGCUGCGAGACAGCUAUUGGGCACGCACGCACAGACCAGGCACUGCUACGGAAGAUCUCCGAUCAACAGCACCGGGACAUACCGACACCUGAAGUGGAGCACCCACAGGGACAGCACUCAAAGAAGAAACAUAUCUCUUAAAGAAUAUGUCUACACUGAAAUUGUGGGGUGUAAUUGUUGGUAUAGACAUACCUAAACUAAGUUUUAAUCUAGCUAUUUUGUGUACCAGAGCAGAGAAACUGUGGCUAGAUUAAAGCUAGAGGAGGUAUGUCUACUGAAGAUGCAGUCAUACCCCAUGAUUACAGCAUAGAAAUACCCAAAGUGGCCAAAUUAUUUUAAUUUCUUCUUUUUUGAAAAGAUAGCUCUUGGUCUGAGAAGCUGUUUGCUGUCAGCCUAGACAGGAUUUAAAGCUAAAACUUCAAAAAUUAUCAAAACACUAAUUUAUAAUGGAAACAGUAAGAGGCCACUACCUAGAAUGGCACAUAUAUUCCUGAAACAAUCAAACUAUUUAAAUGAGUCGGGCAAGCAGAAUUUGGCCCCUAAUUUGGAGUUUAGAUGGCGUAUCAAAGAAACAAGGGAAAAUCUGAGAAAACACACACACUUGCAGAAAAAGGAGUUUGUCACUAGGUGGAGCUGUGUAUCAUUGUAAUGGUUGCCCUAAAGACAAUUCUCAGUGUAAAGCUAAAUUCCCCUGUAAAUGGUAUUUAAAACACAUCACUGUUCAAAGAUGUUUCUUCUCCAUUAAAAGCAUAUCACCGCUUUGAUCUAUAAAGGAACUGUUGUCAAUGUCUGUCAUAAAUAUAAAGGGAAGGGUAAACACCUUUUAAAAUCCCUCCUGGCUGGAGGAAAAAUCCUUUCACCUGUAAAGCGUUAAGAAGCUAGGAUAACCUUGCUGGCACCUGACCAAAAUGACCAAUGAGGAGACAAGAUACUUUCAAAAGCUGGGAGGAGGGAGAAAAACAAAGGGUCUGCGUCUGUCUGGUGAUGCUUUUGCCGGGGACAGAACAGGAAUGAAGUCUUAGAAAUUAGUAGGUACUCUAGCUAGAUAUGCAUUAGAUUAUGAUUUCUUUAAAUGGCUGAGAAAAUAAGCUGUGCUGAAUAGAAUGGAUAUUCCUCUCUGUGUGUCUUUUUGUAACUUAAGGUUUUGCCUAGAGGGAUUCUCUAUGUUUUGAAUCUAAUUACCCUGUAAGGUAUUUACCAUCCAGAUUUUACA